This 515-nucleotide long non-coding RNA is filed under the name Vulpes vulpes (red fox). RNAcentral's name for it is "lncRNA (ENSVVUG00000023345.1)". The record is from RNAcentral. Lineage: Eukaryota; Metazoa; Chordata; Mammalia; Carnivora; Canidae.
UGAGGAAUGAUGACCUCUGAUUGGUCAGUCAUGAUGACACAGUUUAUGGGUUUGGAGGAUUCCGUUGUCAAGAGCAACAGGGCAGGAUCACCUCUGUAAGGAAAUAAUGUGAUCACAUGGCAAAGAGUCAAGCAAGCCAUGACUAAGGAAGACAAUGAAGCAUGAAACUGUCCUUUCCAGAGAAAUCACAGGCACGGAAUAAGAAGUCCCUGAGGAGGUCUUUCCCUCAUCAAGCUGGGAUAUUCCUUUCAUAUCCAGUGAACUUCAGAGCAACACUGAGUUUUGCUGAAGAAAAUCAAAGGAAAAGAAGAAAUGGGCAUUUGGCUGCUGGGAGACAAGAGACCUACUCAAAGGAGGUUGGUGUAGAAGCCAAAUGCAUGAGAGAAGGAAGAAGAGAAGAGAAGAGCAAGAACACUGUCACGGUUUCUUUGACUAUUUGUCUUGGGGAGCACAAAUCUUUCUUCCCCACUGCCCUUCCAACCUCAAAGAGAGGGUGUGCUCUCUAUGGCUCUUAA